Molecule: long non-coding RNA, 1203 nt
Organism: Hyaena hyaena (striped hyena)
Lineage: Eukaryota; Metazoa; Chordata; Mammalia; Carnivora; Hyaenidae
Exons: 2
Source: RefSeq, a predicted model, not a curated record
GAACUCCUGUCCGUGGGACAGCCUGGCCCUGCCUCUGCCCAGGGUGGGCUCCGGGUCCAGGAAGGCCAGCCAGACCCCGUCCUCGGGAGCACGGGGCCGAGCCCCCCCCACCCCCCCGCCACCACCACAGGACCGGAACAGAGGAGGGACAGGGCAGAGCGGGGUCCAGAGGUGGGCGUCCCUGGGAUCUGCCGGCCCUCUCACCUCACCAUGCCUUCCUGACCCCUGGGCGCCCACCCACGGGUCCCGCCACUGCACCCACCUCCGCUCACCCCCGGCUCAGGACCCCCCCCGGGGGACAGCCCGCUUUUCUGCAGCUUCCUCCCGCACGAAUCUCCUUCUCGGCCCCGGUGGCCGACUGCUCCUGAACCGCGCUCUCGCAGGAGCGCCCGUGUGUGGUGACUGGGCACGCUGGCACUUGGGGGGGGGUGCGGGCCGUGCCGCCCCUGCACUCUUACUCCCGAUGUCGCUGCCUCAGCAGAUGCCGUCCCCACCACCCCUGCGGAGCGGUCCUGGGCAGAUGCCACCUCGGUGCUGGCCAGGGGGUCCGUUUGGGACCACAGCCCUGGGUGAUCCCUGGCCUUUUCUUACCCCGAUGGGUGUGAAGUUUACUGCCCUCUAACGGUCUGAGUUCCCUGCGAAUGUGAUGUAUUCAUUUAUCAUUUUAAGCAUUCCAGAUGCCUGAUAAGAAACAUUCCCAAACUUCCCAAACCCCGAAAUUACUCUUCCUCACCUGAUAAACCAGCUCAGGGCAGACGGAGUUCACUCGCGGAUUCCACUACCGGUUUGCAAGUUCAGUUACUUCUCGUGUCAGCUUAGAGCCGCAUGGCAACAACAGGUUCUUCCUACACUUGAGCUUGAAGGCAGCAGAUGCAAUGGCUGACAUAGCGCGUCGCCUCUGUGGGGUCCCCGUGCGGCACCCGCGGCUGUCGGUAUGUGAAGGGCGCGAUGAACGGACAGUUUUGGCUUUCAGAGACAUUGAACGAAAGUACAAAGAAUUUUGGGGGGCUCAGUUCGUUAAGCCUCUGACUCCGGAUUUCGGCUCAGGUCAUGACCGCACGGUUUCGGGGAUCAAGCCGCACAUCGAGCUCUGCACUGACUGUGAGGAGCCUGCUCGGGAUCCUCUCUCCCUCUCUCUACCCCACGCGCAUGCGUGGGCUCGCUCGCUCUCAGAAGUAAAUAAACAUUAAAAGAACAAAGAAA